UUCUUAUCUAGAGAGGUGGAGGGACUGGCCCUUUGAAACCUCGGCAGCGGACUUUUUAAGUACUGUGCCAAUUCCAGUAGUAGCGAUACUACAAAGAUGAGAA
This 103-nucleotide non-coding RNA is filed under the name Geomicrobium sp. JCM 19038. RNAcentral describes it as "SAM riboswitch aptamer (S box leader)". It matches the Rfam family "SAM riboswitch aptamer (S box leader)". From Rfam's summary of the family: The SAM riboswitch is found upstream of a number of genes which code for proteins involved in methionine or cysteine biosynthesis in Gram-positive bacteria. The SAM riboswitch acts at the level of transcription termination control. RNAcentral also lists the same sequence under 1 other name. The record is from Rfam by way of RNAcentral. Lineage: Bacteria; Bacillati; Bacillota; Bacilli; Caryophanales.